UUGGAGGGCAAGUCUGGUGCCAGCAGCCGCGGUAAUUCCAGCUCCAAUAGCGUAUAUUAAAGUUGUUGCAGUUAAAAAGCUCGUAGUUGAAUUUUGGGGUCAGUAGGUUGGUCAUGCCACUGGUAUGUACUGGUCUCACUGAUUCCUCCUUCCUGAUGAGCCGUAAUGCCAUUAAUUUGGUGUUGCGAGGAAUCUGGACUGUUACUUUGAAAAAAUUAGAGUGUUUAAAGCAGGCUAACGCUUGAAUACAUUAGCAUGGAAUAAUGAAAUAGGACGUUCGAUCUUACUUUGUUGGUUUCUAAGAUUGACGUAAUGAUUAAUAGGGAUAGUUGGGGGCAUUAGUAUUCAAUUGUCAGGGGUGAAAUUCCUGGAUUUAUUGAAGACUAACUACUGCGAAAGCAUUUGCCAAGGAUGUUUUCAUUAAUCAAGAACGAAAGUUAGGGGAUCGAAGACGAUCAGAUACCGUCGUAGUCUUAACCAUAAACUAUGCCGACUAGGGAUCGGAUGAUGUUAAUUUUUUAAUGACUCAUUCGGCGCCUUACGGGAAACCAAAGUGUUUGGGUUC
Molecule: ribosomal RNA, 565 nt
Filed under: uncultured Glomeromycotina
Lineage: Eukaryota; Fungi; Glomeromycota
Description: SSU rRNA
Rfam family: Eukaryotic small subunit ribosomal RNA
Source: RNAcentral